RNAcentral lists this ribosomal RNA (446 nucleotides) under uncultured bacterium. RNAcentral's name for it is "SSU rRNA". It matches the Rfam family "Bacterial small subunit ribosomal RNA", at positions 26 to 518 of the family's 1533-position model. The record is from RNAcentral.
AGGAUGAACGCUGGCGGUCUGCUUAACACAUGCAAGUCGAACGGAGUAGCAAUACUUAGUGGCGGACGGGUGAGUAACGCGUGAGAAUCUACCUUCAGGACGGAGACAACAGUUGGAAACGACUGCUAACCCCCGAUGUACCGAAAGGGCAAAUAUUUAUAGCCUGAAGAAGAGCUCGCGUCCGAUUAGCUAGUUGGAGAGGUAAAAGCUCACCAAGGCGACGAUCGGUAGCUGGUCUGAGAGGACGAUCAGCCACACUGGGACUGAGACACGGCCCAGACUCCUACGGGGGGCAGCAGUGAGGAAUUUUCGGCAAUGGGGGAAACCCUGACCGAGCAACGCCGCGUGCAGGAAGACGGCCUUCGGGUUGUAAACUGCUUUUCUUUGGGAAGAGGAAGGACGGUACCAGAGGAAUCAGCCCCGGCUCACUACGUGCCAGCAGCCGC